GAUGAUAACCUAAGCAUUAAGGAAUCAUUUUCAUGACAUUCUGCAUUCAUUCAAAUGUCAUUCACGCACAUCUAGUUAGGAACAUUUGAUCCAUUCUGAUCAUGCCAUCCUAAUCAUUAGGCAUAAUUAGGUUCAUUAUACAGGUCAUGUUCCCUAGAGAACAGAUCAGUAAAAAUCAAAGACAAACCUUGCCUCUCUCGUUUGUAGCAGAGCUGGUUGAAGAUAGCAAAUCUUGCCUUCCUGCAUUGACAGCGAAGCAGAUCGAAGACAAACCUUGCCUCUCUCGUUUGUAGCAGAGCAGGUUGAAUAUAGCAGAUCUUGCCUUCCUGUAUUUGGCAGCGAAGCAGAUCAAAGAUGGAAGAUUUUACCUCCCUGACUACAGUGGAGUACAUUGAAGCCGAUAACUCUAUCUCCCUGUAUUUGGCAGUGGAAUAGAUUGAAGAUCAAAGAUGGCAGAUUUUACCUCCAUGUGACUACAGUGGAGUACAUUGAAGCCGAUAACUCUAUCUCCCUGUAUUUGGCAGUGGAAUAGAUUGAAGAUCGAAGAUGGCAGAUUUUACCUCCCUGACUACAGUGGAGUACAUUGAAGCCGAUAACUCUAUCUCCCUGUAUUUGGCAGUGGAGUAGAUUGAAGAUCGAAGAUGGCAGAUUUUACCUCCAUGUGACUACAGUGGAGUACAUUGAAGCCGAUAACUCUAUCUCCCUGUAUUUGCCAGUGGAAUAGAUUGAAGAUUGCAGAUCUUGCCUUCCUGUAUUUGGCAGCGAAGCAGAUCAAAGAUGGCAGAUUUUACCUCCCUGACUACAGUGGAGUACAUUGAAGCCGAUAACUCUAUCUCCCUGUAUUUGGCAGUGGAAUAGAUUGAAGAUCGAAGAUGGCAGAGUUUACCUCCCUGACUACAGUGGAGUACAUUGAAGCCGAUAACUCUAUCUCCCUGUAUUUGGCAGUGGAAUAGAUUGAAGAUUACAGAUCUUAUCUCCCUAAGCAAUAGUGGAGCAGGUUGAAGACGGCGGAUUUUACCUCCCUGAUUACAGUGGAGUACAUUGAAGCUGGUAGUUCUAUCUCCCUGGGCAACAGUGGAAUAGAUCGAAGAUUACAGAUCUUAUCUCCCUAAGCAAUAGUGGAGCAGGUUGAAGACGGCGGAUUUUACCUCCCUGAUUACAGUGGAGUACAUUGAAGCUGGUAGUU
RNAcentral lists this long non-coding RNA (1186 nucleotides) under Gossypium barbadense (sea-island cotton). RNAcentral's name for it is "long non-coding RNA (GBAR_LNC017573)". The record is from RNAcentral. Lineage: Eukaryota; Viridiplantae; Streptophyta; Magnoliopsida; Malvales; Malvaceae.